This 499-nucleotide ribosomal RNA is filed under the name uncultured bacterium. RNAcentral's name for it is "partial 16S ribosomal RNA". It matches the Rfam family "Bacterial small subunit ribosomal RNA", at positions 28 to 507 of the family's 1533-position model. The record is from RNAcentral.
GACGAACGCUGGCGGCGUGCCUAAUACAUGCAAGUCGAGCGAAGUUUUUCUGGUGCUUGCACUAGAAAAACUUAGCGGCGAACGGGUGAGUAACACGUAAAGAACCUGCCUCAUAGACUGGGACAACUAUUGGAAACGAUAGCUAAUACCGGAUAACAGUAUUUCUCGCAUGAGAGAUAUUUAGAAGUUGGUUAUGCUAACACUAUGAGAUGGCUUUGCGGUGCAUUAGCUAGUUGGCGGGGUAAAGGCCCACCAAGGCGACGAUGCAUAGCCGACCUGAGAGGGUGAUCGGCCACACUGGGACUGAGACACGGCCCAGACUCCUACGGGAGGCAGCAGUAGGGAAUCUUCCGCAAUGGGCGAAAGCCUGACGGAGCAACGCCGCGUGAGUGAAGAAGGAGUUCGGUUCGUAAAGCUCUGUUGUUAGGGAAGAAUGGAUAUGUAGUAACUAUACAUGUAAGAGACGGUACCUAACCAGAAAGCCACGGCUAACUACGUG